Molecule: ribosomal RNA, 407 nt
Filed under: uncultured bacterium
Lineage: Bacteria
Description: partial 16S ribosomal RNA
Rfam family: Bacterial small subunit ribosomal RNA
Source: RNAcentral
GACGAACGCUGGCGGCGUGCCUAAUACAUGCAAGUAGGACGCAGUUGCGAACGGGUUAGUAACGCGUCGGUAACUGCCUAUUAGAGGGGGAUAACUAUUGGAAACGAUAGCUAAUACCGCAUACUAGUAGAUGGACCUGCGUUGUAUUAGCUAGUAGGUAGGGUAAUGGCCUACCUAGGCGACGAUACAUAGCCGACCGGAGAGGGUGAUCGGCCACACUGGGACUGGGAAACGGCCCAGACUCCUACGGGAGGCAGCAGGAGGGAAUCUGCGGCAAUGGGGGGAACCCUGACCGAGCAACGCCGCGUGAGUGAAGAAGGUUUUCGGAUCGUAAAGCUCUGUUGUUAAGGAAGCGGUACUUAACCAGAAAGGGACGGCUAACUACGUGCCAGCAGCCGCGGUAAUUC